GGGGGAUUAGCUCAGUUGGUAGAGCGCCUGCCUUGCACGCAGGAGGCCAUCGGUUCGACUCCGUUAUCCUCCACCA
RNAcentral lists this transfer RNA (76 nucleotides) under Alcaligenes faecalis. RNAcentral describes it as "tRNA-Ala". It matches the Rfam family "tRNA". From Rfam's summary of the family: Transfer RNA (tRNA) molecules are approximately 80 nucleotides in length. Lineage: Bacteria; Pseudomonadati; Pseudomonadota; Betaproteobacteria; Burkholderiales; Alcaligenaceae. The record is from RNAcentral. RNAcentral also lists the same sequence under 9 other names.